UGAAAAGCUAGAUUUGUGUUAUUUUCUAAUCGUAUUUAAGUAAACUAAUGCAUGCUAUCUGUGCUUUGUAACCUCUUAGAUAUUGUACUUUAGUGGUUUUUGAUACAGAUAUUAGUAUAUCAAAUAUUUAUUUCCUGUUUCUUAUUUAACUUUUUUUGACCAAUGGAAUUAUACAGAACUUUAUUUUUGAAUGAGUACGAAGUUACAUUACGUUGAUGUCAAUGUAAGAUGACUAUUCAUCGAAGAAGAAGACGCUGUUGUAACAUUGGAUCAAUUCACAGAAGUUUCUUUUUUCUUAGCGUUACCAAUAUGGAUAUUAACUGCAUUUAUUUUUUUCUUUGAAGAGGUUUGAAGUUAAAUAUAAUGUGAAAAGAAUAUAGUAGCGAUGACAAGAAAUGGUUAGAGCCGAAAGCUUUUAGAAAGUAAGAUAAUAAUCUUGUAGAAGUAAGAAACGAAUAUUACUUUA
Molecule: long non-coding RNA, 466 nt
Filed under: Polistes fuscatus (common paper wasp)
Lineage: Eukaryota; Metazoa; Arthropoda; Insecta; Hymenoptera; Vespidae
Description: uncharacterized LOC122513343, transcript variant X2
Source: RNAcentral